CCUACGGGAGGCAGCAGUGGGGGAUAUUGCACAAUGGGGGGAACCCUGAUGCAGCGACGCCGCGUGGGUGAAGAAGCGCCUAGGCGCGUAAAGCCCUGUCAGCAGGGAAGAAAAUGACGGUACCUGAAGAAGAAGCCCCGGCUAACUACGUGCCAGUAGCCGAGGUAAUACGUAGGGGGCAAGCGUUAUCCGGAUUUACUGGGUGUAAAGGGGGCGCAGGCGGGGAUGCAAGCCAGGAGUGAAAGCCCGGGGGCCAACCCCGGGACUGCUCUUGGAACUGCGGGGCUGGAGUGCAGGAGGGGUAGGCGGAAUGCCUGGUGUAGCGGUGAAAUGCGUAGAUAUCAGGAAGAACACCGGUGGCGAAGGCGGCCUGCUGGCCUGCAACUGACGUUGAGGCCCGAAAGCGUGGGGAGCAAACAGGAUUAGAUACCCGAGUAGUC
RNAcentral lists this ribosomal RNA (440 nucleotides) under uncultured bacterium. RNAcentral's name for it is "partial 16S ribosomal RNA". It matches the Rfam family "Bacterial small subunit ribosomal RNA", at positions 338 to 795 of the family's 1533-position model. The record is from RNAcentral.